GCGGCCAUAGUUCAAUGGAUAGAACGCGUGGCUUCGGACCACGAAAUUGGGGGUUCAAAUCCCUCUGGCCGCGCCC
The sequence is a transfer RNA, 76 nucleotides long. It matches the Rfam family "tRNA". Rfam says of the family: Transfer RNA (tRNA) molecules are approximately 80 nucleotides in length.